Molecule: long non-coding RNA, 727 nt
Organism: Salvia splendens (bonfire salvia)
Lineage: Eukaryota; Viridiplantae; Streptophyta; Magnoliopsida; Lamiales; Lamiaceae
Exons: 2
Source: RefSeq, a predicted model, not a curated record
CCCAAAGGAGGAAGAAUCCUCCCCACCCCACGUAACACCCUCUCUCUCUCUACCCCUUCUUCUUUCUCGACGGAAAUUGCAGCAGAUCGCCGCCUUGACCGCCUCCGCCAUCGGCCGCUGCUCUCGGCACGCCCCAACCGCUGCACCCGACGCCGUCGCUGUUGUGUGGUUCAGCCGUCGCUGCUGUUUCGCGCCGCUGCUGCUCGUCGCCGGAGUCCCGCCGUCGCUGCCGGGGACGCGACGCCACCGCUGCCAGCAGCAGCUCUCGGUCAGUCCCCGCCAUCCGUUGCUCCGAUUCACCCCGAAACAGACCCGACGCCUCUGACCCUAACCCGAUUCGCCCCGCAAGUAAGGUUCUUAGUUUGGUUUCGAAAAUUCCAGUUCUUUAAAGGUUCAAUCUUUUAUCCGGUUUUCGCUGAUUCAAUCGUUUAGGAGGUGAUUUACAGAUUAAUAGAUGGUAGAGUUUGAUGUAAGAAUGCAGCAGUUUCAAAUCGGAUUUGGUUGGAGGGGGUGUAUACCUUCAAUAAUCUGAGACGGAUUACGGAGGAGGAAUAUCUUUUCACGGAGGAGGAAGAUAUCUGCAGGAUCUUUAUUUAGUAAUUGGAUUAAUAUCAAGGAGAAACUUUAAUUAAAUUAGUUUAAUUCACGGUCCAUUGUAUUUUAUUUUAAUUUGCGCAGUCCAUAAUUUAUUUAUCACGGACUGGACCUUUAUAUAAUUAUUUAUUUA